Molecule: long non-coding RNA, 249 nt
Filed under: Monodelphis domestica (gray short-tailed opossum)
Lineage: Eukaryota; Metazoa; Chordata; Mammalia; Didelphimorphia; Didelphidae
Description: lncRNA (ENSMODG00000045609.1)
Source: RNAcentral
GGGUCAUAAAAACUUUAAAUGUCUUCAGUCACAUUUGAGCUCAGAUAUUUCACCACAGCUUUAUCUAUCAUGCCAUCAUCCCGUCGCUUAGCAACAAGCAUCAUUAAAAACAGUAUCAGGAAGAAUGCCUGGAUUGGAAAGACUUGUCAUCUCCAGAUUUCUUUUUUCCAGAUAUGCGAGGGAAGGCAAACUAGGAGUGAACCUUUCAUGACUUCAUGGAAUAGAGUUCCUCUUCCCAGGUGUUUGUGA